This 165-nucleotide ribosomal RNA is filed under the name uncultured bacterium. Its description in RNAcentral is "partial 16S rRNA". It matches the Rfam family "Bacterial small subunit ribosomal RNA", at positions 355 to 511 of the family's 1533-position model. The record is from RNAcentral.
UAGGGAAUCUUCGGCAAUAGGGGCAACCCUGACCGAGCAACGCCGCGUGAGUGAAGAAGGUUUUCGGAUCGUAAAGCUCUGUUGUAAGAGAAGAACGUGUGUGAGAGUGGAAAGUUCACACAGUGACGGUAACUUACCAGAAAGGGACGGCUAACUACGUGCCAG